RNAcentral lists this ribosomal RNA (862 nucleotides) under uncultured Neocallimastigales. Its description in RNAcentral is "partial large subunit ribosomal RNA". It matches the Rfam family "Eukaryotic large subunit ribosomal RNA", at positions 1 to 628 of the family's 3401-position model. Lineage: Eukaryota; Fungi; Neocallimastigomycota; Neocallimastigomycetes; Neocallimastigales. The record is from RNAcentral.
GUACACGCUGUGACUAGCAUAUCAAUAAGCGGAGGAAAAGAGGGCUAUUACCUACGCUUAGGAUGUUGACGAGACUGUCGAUCUCAUCUAUACAUGACUCUGUGCAUAUCAAUAAGCGGAGGAAAAGGAAACUAACAAGGAUUCCCCUAGUAACGGCGAGUGAAGCGGGAAGAGCUCAAAUUUGAAAUCUUAAAGGGUCUCCCUUUACGAAUUGUAGUUUAAAGAAGUGUUUUCUGUUGAGGUUUCGGUAAAAGUUCUUUGGAAUAGGACAUCAUAGAGGGUGAGAAUCCCGUAUUUGACCUUUACUUUCAACUUUGUGAUACACUUUCAAAGAGUCGGAUUGUUUGGGAAUGCAGUCCAAAAUGGGUGGUAAAUUUCAUCUAAAGCUAAAUAUUGGCGAGAGACCGAUAGCGAACAAGUACCGUGAGGGAAAGAUGAAAAGAACUUUGAAAAGAGAGUUAAACAGUACGUGAAAUUGUCAAAAGGGAAGCGUUUGACACCAGUGUUGUUUUUCUGAAAAUCAAUUAAAGAACUGUUUAUGCUAAGUUGUUUAGACUUUAUCAGCUAACUGUUUAGUUUUGAGCUUUUCUUUAAUGCACUUUUCAGUUAACAAGUCAACAUCAAUUUCUUUUGCUGUAAAAAAGCUUGAGGAAGGUGGCUUGAGAUUCGUCUUAAGUGUUUAUAGCCUCUUGCCUAUGCAGUCGGAGAGAUUGAGGUCUGCAGCGUAGAUCCUUCGGGGCUAAAUGCAUUUGUGCUAAGUUAUAGCAUUUUAUAGACAACUUGUUGACUAUGAUUUGUCUUGUAGCUUACUCGCUUAUGUUAUUUUACCUACGCUUAGGAUGUUGAGUCGUAGAGCACGCAG